RNAcentral lists this unclassified non-coding RNA (299 nucleotides) under Hevea brasiliensis (rubber tree). The record is from RNAcentral. Lineage: Eukaryota; Viridiplantae; Streptophyta; Magnoliopsida; Malpighiales; Euphorbiaceae.
AUAACAGUGGCCUUAAUAUUAAAAUGGUGAGUUUCAAGUUAUAUAUUUAAUUGUAAGAAUUUUAUUUUUAAUAUAAUCGGCUCUAAUUGAGAAUCAAACUUUAGACUUCACAACUUUUUGAGACCGAAUGCAGUAUCAAUGAAGCUAAAGCUAAUUGGUUGAAUUGUAAGAGUUGAUUGACAGUAAAUACACGGUUGCGUAUUCAAAAACCUGACAUCAGCUGUCUUCCCCAAAAGGAAAAGAAAAUUUUUGACUAACAAAAGUGUGCUUAAAUAGGGAACACUCACACUUGCGACAGU